UCUUUUAUAUUUUCCAGACAAGGGUCAGUAAUCACGGAAACACAGCUAGCUUUCAACUCCACACAAGCUAUUCCAACUGUUCAAGAGAUUUCAGACACCCUCUUUACAGCAGUGAUAAACGGAAGUGUCAACCCACUGAACAUAACUCCUUAUUCAAUUUCAGUCAACGGUUCGAUUAUAAACGUGACUACUUCAACUACAGCAUCAACAACAACAACAGCAAUGACGAUGACAACAACAAGAACAACAACAACCACACCGACAACAACUACAAGAGCCUUGACAUCUACAACUAAAGUGCCUGCAACUAAAACUACACAAUUUGUACCUGUGUAUCUAACAGCUCUGGUGUUCCGCUCUUUAGACAUAUUCAUAACUGAACUCAGUAAUCAAAGCUCUCAGGCCUUCAAGUCAAGAUCUGAGCUUGUCAGAUCUCAGCUUGAACUCAUCUACAGAGCAAAAUAUCUUUCCUUUAUCAGAGUGGAUGUCUUAAGUUUCCGUCCUGGGUCAAUCAUCACAGAAACCCAGCUAGCUUUUAACUCCACACAAGCUGUUCCAACCGUUCAAGAGAUUUCAGACACUCUCUUUACAUCAGUGAUAAAUGGAUUUGUCAGUCCACUGAACAUAACUCCUUAUUCAAUUUCAGUCAAUGGUUCAAUUAUAAACGUGACUACUUCAACUACAGCAUCAACAACAACAACAACAACAGCAAUGACAAAUACAACAACCACAACAACAACAACCACACCAACAACAACAACAAAACCCUUGACAUCUACAACUAAAGUGCCUGCAACUACAACUACACAAUUUGUACCUGUGUAUCUAACAGUUCUGGUGUUCCGCUCUUUUGACAUAUUUAUAAUUGAACUCAGUAAUCAAAGCUCUCAGGCCUUCAAGACAAGAUCUGAGCUUGUCAGAUCUCAGCUCGAACCCAUCUACAGAGCAAAAUAUCCUUCCUUUAUCAGAGUGAUUGUCUUAAGUUUCCGUCCUGGGUCAAUCAUCACAGAAACUCAACUAGUUUUUAACUCCACACAACCUGUUCCAACCGUUCAAGAGAUUUCAGACUCCCUCCUGUCAGCAGUGGUAACAGGAGGUGUCGAUCCACUGAACAUAAUCCCUUCAACAGUUUCAGUCAAUGGUUCAGUUAUAGCUACGACUGUUGCUGCAACUACAGCUUCAAGUGGACUGAAGAUUGAAUCCAGCCUGCUCCAAGCAACAUGGCUCAUUAUUAUGGCAAAAAUAUUACAGUUUUUCCUAUAGAUCUCUUAACAAUGAAUGUGAGUUGCGAGAAAUGAAAGGCAUGUGCCAGGCACACAAUUAUAUUAUCAAAUUAUAUUAUUUUUGUAUGUGUGUUUGUGUAUUGUGGUAUUAAGUAUUGUAGCACACUCUUGAAAUAUGGCAAUGGCAAAAUAAGCAUAAGCCUGAAAUUGCAUUGAUUCUAAGGAGCACAAUUUGUAAUUAGAAAAAAUAAUAUAUGUAUAUUUAUUUAUCAGCAGGUUGUAGUAAUCAAUCAAAUAAGGAAAAUUCCUAUUUCCUAUUCAGUAUUUUAAAUGUAAUGCUUUUGUUCACUUGUCUGCAGGUUAAAGACUAUUUAAACUGUAAUUCUCUUUUGUCUAGUAUGUGCUAAUAUCGCAAGAACUUAUUUAAUCUUAUUAUAAUCAAAUAAACAUAUUUAUUAAGUUCA
Long non-coding RNA from Cyprinus carpio (common carp), 1687 nucleotides. NCBI's taxonomy places the organism in Eukaryota, Metazoa, Chordata, Actinopteri, Cypriniformes, Cyprinidae. The record is from Ensembl.